UAUAGGAUUGACUUUCUAUAACAUAUAACAAACAGUUUCAUUGCAAGCUAUCCUCCACAAGGAGUAUAAGCCACGUGCAAUGUGAAAACUGAGGACAAAAUUCUAUAUCCCAAGUAGAUAGAAGAAAAGAGAAAAAGAAAAACAGAAAGAGAGAGCAGGAAAAAAAAAAUACAAGAUUGAUGAAGCAAUGCAUAUUUGAGACACACAUUUAUUGUACCUCCUGCUCAUAG
Molecule: unclassified non-coding RNA, 230 nt
Filed under: Hevea brasiliensis (rubber tree)
Lineage: Eukaryota; Viridiplantae; Streptophyta; Magnoliopsida; Malpighiales; Euphorbiaceae
Source: RNAcentral